RNAcentral lists this ribosomal RNA (544 nucleotides) under Vibrio parahaemolyticus. RNAcentral's name for it is "bacterial SSU rRNA". It matches the Rfam family "Bacterial small subunit ribosomal RNA", at positions 1 to 524 of the family's 1533-position model. The record is from RNAcentral. Lineage: Bacteria; Pseudomonadati; Pseudomonadota; Gammaproteobacteria; Vibrionales; Vibrionaceae.
AAAUUGAAGAGUUUGAUCAUGGCUCAGAUUGAACGCUGGCGGCAGGCCUAACACAUGCAAGUCGAGCGGAAACGAGUUAUCUGAACCUUCGGGGGACGAUAACGGCGUCGAGCGGCGGACGGGUGAGUAAUGCCUAGGAAAUUGCCCUGAUGUGGGGGAUAACCAUUGGAAACGAUGGCUAAUACCGCAUGAUGCCUACGGGCCAAAGAGGGGGACCUUCGGGCCUCUCGCGUCAGGAUAUGCCUAGGUGGGAUUAGCUAGUUGGUGAGGUAAGGGCUCACCAAGGCGACGAUCCCUAGCUGGUCUGAGAGGAUGAUCAGCCACACUGGAACUGAGACACGGUCCAGACUCCUACGGGAGGCAGCAGUGGGGAAUAUUGCACAAUGGGCGCAAGCCUGAUGCAGCCAUGCCGCGUGUGUGAAGAAGGCCUUCGGGUUGUAAAGCACUUUCAGUCGUGAGGAAGGUAGUGUAGUUAAUAGCUGCAUUAUUUGACGUUAGCGACAGAAGAAGCACCGGCUAACUCCGUGCCAGCAGCCGCGGUAAU